Molecule: non-coding RNA, 1225 nt
Organism: Tachysurus fulvidraco (yellow catfish)
Lineage: Eukaryota; Metazoa; Chordata; Actinopteri; Siluriformes; Bagridae
Source: the annotation of a RefSeq genome assembly
CUUCCUUUAUUUCAGGGACUACAGCAGUCUGAUGGUCAUUACACAAUAAUUCUGUCAUUUUUACACAUUAUUCUUUCUGUGCUGUAGUCAGAGAGUCUAGUUUAAUGACCCGUGUAUGUUUUAGUGCUCCAAACUGUGUAAGUGUGUGUUUCUGACUAAAACUGGUCCAUGUGACCAUCAGAAUACAUCUUACUGCUAAUAGACCAAUCAAAUCAGUCCACAGCUUCAAAACAUCCAAUCAGGUGUGAGUCUGGACCUGGUUUUGUACUGAACACACAAGUUCAUUAGAUCACUUGGUGUGAACAGGAACGAUGAUCAGACUCUUUAUCGCUCUUUGUGCUCUUUUUUCUCUCUUCACAGCUGAGAAAACUUCUGACAUCAAGGAGUUUGAUGUGAUAACAGUAAAGCAUGGAGAAAAUGUAACUAUGAAGUGUAACAUUAGCAUUGACACAAAGAAAGAUUUAGUUUGGUACAGACAGAGUUCAGGAAAAUUACCUCAUCGUUUUGCAAAACCAUACUCGAAUGAUUUAGGCUACAAAUUUGAUGAUGGAUUUUAUUAUGCUCGUUUCAGUAUUAGUGUAAAUGACAAUAAAUUUGAUCUCAAUAUUAAACAAACAAGAGAAGAUGAUGAAGGAGAAUAUUUCUGUGGAGAAAUGGAAGGAAGUGUAGUGAAGUUCACAUCUGGAACACGUCUGCAAUUUGAAGAUAAAGUGACGACACACAGCAAUAUAUCUGGAACUACACACAGAGAUUCACACAGCUGCAAUGAAACAAGUGAGAGCUGUACUGCUAACAUGCGUGUGUUCUUCUGGCUCUCCAUUUCAAGAAUCGGAGUUCUCAGUGUUACAGUUAUUAUAAUUACAAUAUGGUACAAGGUUUUAAAAUCAAGAUCUUAAACUUGAUAUAAUUGUCUUUUAACUGUUGUCUGUGUCGCUCUAACUGUGUUUUCAAGUACAUGACAUUUAUUAUUUUUUUUAUUUUACUCCAGUGUGUGUGUGUGUGUGUGUGUUAGAGUGAGUGUGUGUAUGUGCUUGUGUGUGUGUGUGUGUGUGUGUGUGUGUGUGCGUGUGUGUGUGUGUGUGAGUGUGGGUGUGGGAGUGAAUGUUCAUUUACAUUGAUCUAGAAAACUGGAUUAAAAACUAAUGUCUGAACUGAUAUUGUUCAGGGUUUGCUUUGAUUCUGCUGAACCUUCAUGAACAGUGCAAUAAAAUUAGACUUUAAGAUC